CCUCAGCCCGCUGUUCAAGAACCUCAGCUGGGUGGCGCUCAUCAUCGGU
Molecule: small nucleolar RNA, 49 nt
Filed under: Curtobacterium sp. ER1/6
Lineage: Bacteria; Bacillati; Actinomycetota; Actinomycetes; Micrococcales; Microbacteriaceae
Description: Small nucleolar RNA sR34
Source: RNAcentral